UACAGUAUGAGUCAUGGUACUCAUCAGUGUAUGAUGAUGAACUACAGUAUACGAGUCAUGGUACUCAUCAGUGUAUGAUGAUGAACUACAGUAUGAGUCAUGGUACUCAUCAGUGUAUGAUGAUGAACUACAGUAUACGAGUCAUGGUACUCAUCAGUGUAUGAUGAUGGGAAGAUGAAUGAAGGGUUAUUCCACCUCAUAGGGGUGGCAGGGUAGCCUAGUGGUUAGAGUGGAGGGGUGGCAGGGUAGCCUAGUGGUUAGAGUGGAGGGGUGGCAGGGUAGCCUAGUGGUUAGAGUGGAGGGGUGGCAGGGUAGCCUAGUGGUUAGAGUGGAGGGGCGGCAGCGUAGCCUAGUGGUUAGAGUGGAGGGGUGGCAGGGUAGCCUAGUGGUUAGAGUGGAGGGGUGGCAGGGUAGCCUAGUGGUUAGAGUGGAGGGGUGGCAGGGUAGCCUAGUGGUUAGAGUGGAGGGGUGGCAGCGUAGCCUAGUGGUUAGAGUGGAGGGGUGGCAGGGUAGCCUAGUGGUUAGAGUGGAGGGGUGGCAGGGUAGCCUAGUGGUUAGAGUGGAGGGGUGGCAGGGUAGCCUAGUGGUUAGAGUGGAGGGGUGGCAGCGUAGCCUAGUGGUUAGAGUGGAGGGGUGGCAGGGUAGCCUAGUGGUUAGAGUGGAGGGGUGGCAGGGUAGCCUAGUGGUUAGAGUGGAGGGGUGGCAGGGUAGCCUAGUGGUUAGAGUGGAGGGGUGGCAGGGUAGCCUAGUGGUUAGAGUGGAGGGGUGGCAGGGUAGCCUAGUGGUUAGAGUGGAGGGGUGGCAGGGUAGCCUAGUGGUUAGAGUGGAGGGGUGGCAGGGUAGCCUAGUGGUUAGAGUGGAGGGGUGGCAGGUAGCCUAGUGGUUAGAGUGGAGGGGUGGCAGGGUAGCCUAGUGGUUAGAGUGGAGGGGUGGCAGGGUAGCCUAGUGGUUAGAGUGGAGGGGUGGCAGGGUAGCCUAGUGGUUAGAGUGGAGGGGUGGCAGCGUAGCCUAGUGGUUAGAGUGGAGGGGUGGCAGGGUAGCCUAGUGGUUAGAGUGGAGGGGUGGCAGGGUAGCCUAGUGGUUAGAGUGGAGGGGUGGCAGGGUAGCCUAGUGGUUAGAGUGGAGGGGUGGCAGGGUAGCCUAGUGGUUAGAGUGGAGGGGUGGCAGCGUAGCCUAGUGGUUAGAGUGGAGGGGUGGCAGGGUAGCCUAGUGGUUAGAGUGGAGGGGUGGCAGGGUAGCCUAGUGGUUAGAGUGGAGGGGCGGCAGGGUAGCCUAGUGGUUAGAGUGGAGGGGUGGCAGGGUAGCCUAGUGGUUAGAGUGGAGGGGUGGCAGGGUAGCCUAGUGGUUAGAGUGGAGGGGUGGCAGGGUAGCCUAGUGGUUAGAGUGGAGGGGCGGCAGGGUAGCCUAGUGGUUAGAGUGGAGGGGCGGCAGCGUAGCCUAGUGGUUAGAGUGGAGGGGCGGCAGCGUAGCCUAGUGGUUAGAGUGGAGGGGUGGCAGGGUAGCCUAGUGGUUAGAGUGGAGGGGUGGCAGGGUAGCCUAGUGGUUAGAGUGGAGGGGUGGCAGGGUAGCCUAGUGGUUAGAGUGGAGGGGUGGCAGGGUAGCCUAGUGGUUAGAGUGGAGGGGUGGCAGGGUAGCCUAGUGGUUAGAGUGGAGGGGUGGCAGGGUAGCCUAGUGGUUAGAGUGGAGGGGUGGCAGGGUAGCCUAGUGGUUAGAGUGUUGGUCUAGUAACCAGAAGGUUUCAAGUUCAAACCCCUGAGCUGACAAGGUACAAAUCUGUCGUUCUGCCCCUGAACAGGCAGUUAACCCACUGUUCCCAGGCCGUCAUUGAAAAUAAGAAUUUGUUCUUAAUUGACUUGCCUAGUAAAAUAAAGGUUAAAUAAAAAUGGUAUAUAUUUGUAUUGGUGUAGAUUCAGAUGUAAACCUAACAACUCCAAUGACUAAUUCCUUUGAACAGGGGGAAGAUAACAUCAGUAAAUUGACUAGGAAUACAUUACAUGUGAUGGAGAAACAAGCCACAGCUCCAUGUACUACUUGUCAGACGUGGAGAACUGAUAUUGUUGACUUGUUAUUGGGCUGGGACAUCUGCAGGUGGCUUUUGACUAUUUAUUUGAAUUCCUCCUGUCAUACUUAUUGUUAGAAAAAAAAGUUUGGUCCAAAUCAGAUUUUAGGUACUGUAAAGAAUGGCUAUUUCUUAUGCAAGUGACCAGCCUACUGCUAUUACAUUGCUAGAACUGAGACAGCGUAUUUUCACAGUGAAACAUGUUAGGUCCCAUACAGGAUAGCUUCCACACCCACACACACACAUACACACACUAACUGCCGAGGACACACAGAUAAGACAUACACCCACACAUUGGGAGGAAGAGACACAGCCUUGACUUGCAGACACAAGCACACACACACAAUCUCCUUCCUAGCCGAACAUUGUGUGACUGAGAACAGCCCGACGAGACGCGGAGGAACGACGGACGGCUCAACAGGACCAAUCCAAGAAGACAACACCUCAACUGUGGCCAACCAAAAGGCCGUGACUUCCAGACUCAACCUACUUUCUGUACUGUACAUAACAUGCUUGCAAUCUGUUAUCGGGGCUUCUUUCUGCUGGUUCCUUGUGAGCCAAAUGAAUGAGCCCGUAUACGUUGUACCAGAUAUCUUUACUCUUAAUUAAACUGUCGCUUGUCAUUGAAUUGACCACCUUGUCCGAAUCGAUCCUUGACCGACUCGCCCUAUCUACAUAUCCCAUUAUCAACAGUACUAUAUUUAUUGAUUAUAUGAAUCCUAUAAAUUCAAAAAUGGCCAAGAUGGAUGCAAUCAAUUAGAUUAAUUCAUCGUAGAUCUAAUUAUAUUAUAUUAGAUUAAUUCAUCGUAGAUCUAAUUAUAUUAUAUUUCAACAAAAUAAUGUUGCAGGAAUGCUUAUCUUCUCUGUUUCUAACUACAGAAAAUUACUUUGAUAUGGGGGGAGAUAUUAUUUAAUGUCUUAAGUGUAUCUUUCUCCAAACAAAUGUAUUCAGUGAAUCUAGAGCGUUGGGCCAGUAACCGAAAGGUUGCUGGUUCGAAUCCCCGAGCUGACAUGGUAGAACUCUUUCGUUCUGCCCCCUGAACAAGGCAGUUAACCCACUGUUCCCCGGUAGGCCAUCAUUGUAAAUAA
Long non-coding RNA from Oncorhynchus keta (chum salmon), 3148 nucleotides. RefSeq lists it as uncharacterized. The transcript has 4 exons. NCBI's taxonomy places the organism in Eukaryota, Metazoa, Chordata, Actinopteri, Salmoniformes, Salmonidae. The record is from RefSeq and is a predicted model, not a curated record.